CUAAUCAACCAAUUCAACGUUGUGCUUGAAAAAAGUGGUAAUUAUUCCAUGAUAGUAAAGAAACAGGAAGUUUGGGAGACAAUUACCAAGAAAUUCAAUGUCAUCCCUUCGCUGAGAAAAAAAAAAAUUACUACAGCUGAAGAGAGCCUGGGGAUACAUCAGAAAUAAGUGGAAUAUGCAACAUACACUAAGAAGUUUGCAACUGGAGGUGGUCCUCCACUUUCACCACCCAAAUUAAGUCCUUUGUUGGAGGCAACAGCAAACUUUAUUUCUGAGGAACUUGAAUGGGCAGAGUUCCAGUACGACAGUUCCUGUCGUGAUGUGCCUCUGUCAACAAAUCCACCAUUACCUGAACCACCCAAACCACCGUCACCUCAGCCACCCAAAUCACCGUCACCUCAGCCUUCACAUCCAUCGUCACCUUUACUGGUCUUACAUGAAGAAGAUUAUGAGUGGAUAGAAGAUGGCCCUCCCCCCCCAAGCAGUGCCACUGCCACCACCAUCUGCAACGACUACAAGGGGUAGCUGCAGUGCAGAACCAGCUAACCCAGGUCCUUCUCAGAAAGCAGAUUGUGGGCAGCAAGACUAUCCCCAAUACGUCUGCCAAUAGAAAGAGAAAGCGGGUGCAAGAGAGAUAUAGUUUGUUUAACUCGAUUAGAAAAGAAAACUCCAAUUUGAAGAAAAGAUCCCUUCAAAUAAUGAAGGAAAAGCAUGCUAAAGAACUGGAAGUUCUAGAUAGUUUCUAAAAUAUGUGCACUGUUAAUCAGUUUUUCUAGACUCAUCACUGACUAUGAUCACAUUUUCAAAAAGCAAAUAAAACACACACACACACACACACACACACACCCGGUAGC
Portunus trituberculatus (swimming crab) is the source of this 854-nucleotide long non-coding RNA. RefSeq lists it as uncharacterized. Lineage: Eukaryota; Metazoa; Arthropoda; Malacostraca; Decapoda; Portunidae. The record is from RefSeq and is a predicted model, not a curated record. The transcript has 3 exons.